RNAcentral lists this long non-coding RNA (1071 nucleotides) under Calidris pugnax (ruff). RNAcentral describes it as "lncRNA (ENSCPUG00000019367.1)". Lineage: Eukaryota; Metazoa; Chordata; Aves; Charadriiformes; Scolopacidae. The record is from RNAcentral.
GGAAGAGGCUGCCCAGGAAGGUGGUGGAGUCUCCUUCUCUGAGGACAUUCAAAACCCCUCUGGACAUGCUCCUGUGCAACCUGCUGUAGGUGGACCUGCUUUGGCAGGGGAGUUGGACUAGAUGAUCUCCAGAGGUCCCUUCCAACUCCAUGUGAUUCUGUAGAUAGAGCAGUAAGAACUGGAAAAAAACUACCAAAUAAGACGAUGUAGCACCCAUUUUUGGUGCCAGCUGGGAGCGUGCACACCUUCAUCAACAGAGUUCCUUGGUUUGGAAGGAGGAAGUUCAUGGAUUAUACAAACUGCUCAGAUCAUGGGCUUCUCAGAUGGCGAGUCAGCCUCACUUGUAUUUAGCAUUCUGACAGCAACUAUAAGGGCUUAUAAGGCCAAAAGGGGUAAAGAAACGUGGUGAAUUCUACCAUGAUUUGUAUUAAAGGCAUGUAAGAAAGGAGGACAGAACCUGUUUUACAUGGGCAGGUAAGUAAUGGUACAUGGAAAACCCAACUUCCAAAUCCUUUUUAGGAAUUUGGAAAGAAGACUACUUCUAAAAAUCUGACUUUUUAUACCCUAACUUGCUAAUUAACAUGAACUAAAUUUUUUCUUUCUUCCAGUGGGAAGAAUGAAGGUAAAGGUAAAAAGCAAUUCAGUUAACUUCUUGCAUAUCAUCAUCCCAGAAGUGCCUCUGAAGAGGGCUGGAACCAGUUCAAGAGAGGCAUGCACUUGAGAGCUCCUAGGGCAGACUUCCAAUUCGUAUUAACAAGCUGGGUUAGAAUUUUGUUCUGAUUCUAAGACAGGAAGACCAACAAGACGAAGUCAUAUGCAGGAGAUACUGGACAUAGAAUCUCAUUUAGAAAUAUUAAUCUGAUCACUUUAUGCUUCUUGAACAAUAGAUACGCUUAAGGGGUUGAAGAAACCUGUGAAAUUACCUGCUUUUGUGGCAAAAAAGGAAAUGCUACAAUUUGGCUUUUCUUCCCCGGGGUGGCUGUUGUCCUUUCUGAAGGACUCAACGUGGCACAGUGAAUAGCAGGGAGGUGUAUAUAUGACACAGAGUGUGGGUGGGAUGCAGAAGCAGCC